This 220-nucleotide long non-coding RNA is filed under the name Setaria italica (foxtail millet). RNAcentral describes it as "long non-coding RNA (SITA_LNC002149)". Lineage: Eukaryota; Viridiplantae; Streptophyta; Magnoliopsida; Poales; Poaceae. The record is from RNAcentral.
AUUUUUGGGCAGCUUACAAGUCGAAUUAGACCAAGGUGUUAUUGAAAGAGUUGCUCUACAAACUGAGGACUUCAACUUUUAUUUAGGGUAUUUCUUGAGCUUAGUUCAGAAAAUUGGAGGAACACCCUGUAACGACCUCGAUUAAAAUCCUUCGCGUUAAUCUUAAUCCGAGUCCCUGAUCACCUGUCUCAGUUUACCAAGCCUAAGUGCUCAACCUCCA